This 220-nucleotide long non-coding RNA is filed under the name Cavia porcellus (domestic guinea pig). RNAcentral's name for it is "lncRNA (ENSCPOG00000035730.1)". Lineage: Eukaryota; Metazoa; Chordata; Mammalia; Rodentia; Caviidae. The record is from RNAcentral.
UCUGCCUCGGCCUCAGCAGCUUGUGCUCUGCUGCGGGAAGCCGGGCUGGCGCUCACUGCGGUGCUGGCUUCCGUGCAAACGAUCAGAUUUGCGAGGCAACGCGUGCUGCAGCUCUGCCCGCCAGUGACCACAGUGACUAAGAAGGAUGUCAGUGAUGGCAAUGGGUGUGCACUGCACUAGUGGACCGUCGAGAGUGGGACUUUGGUGGAGUGGAUCCAAG